UGUCCACUCUGCCCCAGACAGAAAUGCCAGUUUCUGCAGUAUAGAUAAUUAACCACAGAGGUAUAUCCCUUCUUUCCUUUGCCAGACAAAAAGAAAUACAUUUGUUUUGUCGUUAGUAAGGCUGUGGGUUUAUUUCAUUGUCAACAAGGCUGCAAGUGUUAGUUGAAUGGGUUUUAACUGAUGCAAAUCUCAAUAAAUUGACAUGUGGAUCAAUAGAGUGGUCACUGAAAUACAUAGGAUUUGAGCAUCGUGUGCAGUCAAGUUAAUUCAGACUUAUGGGCACCCUUUCCAGGAGAGAAUACUCAGAAGUAGUUUGCCUUGCCUUUCUUCUGGGGGGGCACCCUGGGGUCUGCACAGCUUGCCCAAGGCCUCACAGGCUGGCUAUACUUCCAGAAGGUGCAGUGGGGAAUCCAGGUCCCAAACUCUGGCUCCACUGAGCAAUCCAGCCAGCAAAAUAACCACGCUCCAUCAAGUCCAUUCUGCCUUACGGUGACCCUUCUCACAAUUUUCCAGGUACAGAAUACUCAGAAGUGGUUUCCCCUUCCCUUCCUCUAGGGGGCGCCCUGGGAUUGUGCAGCUGGCCCAAGGCCCCCCAGGCUGGCUGUAUUCACAAUGGCUGCUCCAUCGCCAGAUAACCCAAACCACCAAACUAUCCAGCCAGCUAUGUAGGAAUUAUUCCAAGUUAAAUCAUCCCACCUCCCCUUGUCUCCCUGCUUCGGAAAAGAAUAACAGAAAUGUUUACCCACGGUUAAUGUCGAGCUCCAGUGGGUUGGCAGGCUGGGCCUCAUCCAGAGCAUGGACAAGCUACUUUGUUUUUGGAUCGCACUUCACAGAAUCUCCCGUCCAGAUGGGUUAACUGUAGUUGUAACCGCUAGAAUUCACACACAUGCUAAGCAAGCUACACCUUGAUCAUUACCAUCACCGACACCUAACAACAACAACAACAUGCCAUGAAGUUGAUUCUGACUUAUGGUGAGUGACUGUUUUCAAGGUUUUCGAGAUAGAGAGUAAUCAGAAGUGAUUUACCCUUCCCUUCCUCUAGGGGGCAACCACGGGACUGUGCAGCUGGCCCAAGGCCACCCAGGCUGGCUCUUCUUGCAGGAGGAACAGCGGAGAAUUGAACUCCUGACCUCUGGCUUCCCAGUCAGGUAUGCAUAGGGUUGCCAGAUGUCAGGCAAAAGGAGGACAUGUCCUCCUUUUUAGCCUAAUGUCCUCCAUCAGGCAGGCAAAGAUAAAAUGUCAGGCUUUUGUAUAUUUUAUGUUAUAAUUUUGGAUGGGAGGGGGAGAGAUGGAAUGGCACCCUUCCCCCUGGCUUCCCCCACCCCCACCUGCCUGCCCACUCCCGGUAUUUUGAAAAAAAAGCCUCCAUUGAAUUUAUUUUAAUUUUUUAACAUGACUGUUUCUUGGUCGGUUCACUAAAAGACAUUUAUUGGCAGCUAUUGUAAUAAAAUUACAUAGAUUGUGGGUUUAAUCUGGAAC
This 1479-nucleotide long non-coding RNA is filed under the name Pogona vitticeps (central bearded dragon). Its description in RNAcentral is "lncRNA (ENSPVIG00000017865.1)". Lineage: Eukaryota; Metazoa; Chordata; Lepidosauria; Squamata; Agamidae. The record is from RNAcentral.